Molecule: long non-coding RNA, 1108 nt
Filed under: Canis lupus familiaris (dog)
Lineage: Eukaryota; Metazoa; Chordata; Mammalia; Carnivora; Canidae
Description: lncRNA (ENSCAFG00845022935.1)
Source: RNAcentral
UCCGAGCGUGUGCGGGGCUGGAGCGCGGUGGGACGCGUGGCGGCGGCGGCGGCGGCGGCGGCCCCGUCCCCGCGGAUUGUUGGCUGGCGGUGCGGAUGGACGGACGGGCCACAACGCAUGUCGCCCUUCGCCUGCUGAACUCAGAGCGCUCGAGGAUGUCGGCGCUGAGGAAGGUCUGUAUGAGCUGUUGGCUGUUGUGCCAGGCCGGCUGGGGCCACGUGUGGACAGCCAGGAAGACCUGACCUUCCUCUGGGAUAUGUUUGGUGAGAAAAGCCUGCAUUCACCGGUAAAGGUAAAACCAUGCUGAUGUCAGAUUCUCUUGGUGGGAAAACAUAUGGAAAAAUAUUUUGUCAUCUCAUGCUUUGUUCUGUCCUCCCCUAUUCUCUAUGCAGAAGUUACUCGUCGAGCACCAUUUUCCUUUAGGUUAGUGAUUUCUGAAUUGUAUUCAUGAAACAUUUCCUUAAUGUGUGACCAAAAAGCUAUUCCCUUUUUCAUUUUCACUUUGAUUUCGCUACUCUAGAUUUUUGUUUAUUAUGUGUGAAUCUGGAUCUCAAAAGAAAUUCUCUCAACAUUUCUUCUUUGUCAUAUUUGCUCUAGAUUAUUUUUUUUCAUAUUUGCCGUUUACUCAAUUUAAGAAGUUUCCGUUUAUUCUUUGUAAAAUGACUUUUUAAAUGACUAGCCAUUGGACUUUGUCAAGUGCUUUUUAUUUAUUUAUUGUAUGAUCAUAUGAUUUGUUUCCUGUCAGUCUCAACAUAGGAAAGUUCAUUGGUUUUUGACUUUUUUUUUUUUUUUACUGAUUUUUGACUGUUCAACUGGCUAUCAUUGGACUAUUAUUUGAGAUAACCUAAUUUGUUCAUGAUUUGUUCUCCUUUACAUAUAAUCUGCUGGAGUUAGUUGACUCCUAGUUUAUUUAGAACUUUAAUGUCUCCUUUUAUGAGACAGCCCAUAAUUUUGCUUUCUUAUCUCUCUCAUCAGAUCUUCACAAUAUCCUGGGUAGCCUUAGGUUGUGAGGUGGAAGUCUCUACUCUUCUGUGGGUAAGUUUAUGAAAGACUGAAGUUCGUUUGUCCUUUAGCAGAACUGACUUGUUGGGUUCCUUGGGCCUGGAUG